CAGUAGCCGCGGUAAUACGAAGGGUGCAAGCGUUACUCGGAAUUACUGGGCGUAAAGCGUGCGUAGGUGGUGGUUUAAGUCCGUUGUGAAAGCCCUGGGCUCAACCUGGGAAUUGCAGUGGAUACUGGGUCACUAGAGUGUGGUAGAGGAUGGUGGAAUUUCCGGUGUAGCAGUGAAAUGCGUAGAGAUCGGAAGGAACAUCUGUGGCGAAGGCGACUAUCUGGGCCAACACUGACACUGAGGCACGAAAGCGUGGGGAGCAAACAGGAUUAGAUACCCCUGUAGUCCCUGUCUCUUAUAC
RNAcentral lists this ribosomal RNA (301 nucleotides) under uncultured bacterium. RNAcentral describes it as "partial 16S ribosomal RNA". It matches the Rfam family "Bacterial small subunit ribosomal RNA", at positions 509 to 807 of the family's 1533-position model. The record is from RNAcentral.